CCGCGACGCGGUGGCUGAUGGGACAGGAUGGUCCGGGUGUACUAUAUUGACUGUCCUCAAUAUUAAGUGUCGAAAACAAGCUUCCUCUGUGACUUUUAGUUUCUUAAUGUAAGUAGGUUAAAAGAGUUUAGCGAUGGCCCUAAAUUGCUGCGUUAUUGUUUGUAAUGUCCGGAAUCGUAAAAAGAUCGAAAACGGACUUUUUAAAUGGAUUCUCCACCAGAAACAAGGCGAGGAGCUCAUGUGUUGGACGCAACAAAAAGGACACGUGACACGUCCUCGUGUAACUUUCUCCAGCUCCCUGAGACCUGCUGCUUUGUUCCAGACAUUCUGACAAACCUUCAGAUGAAACUCCAGGAGAGGAGCUCAGUGAGGCUGCAGAUGAUGGAGAGGAGGAACAUGAAGCAGCAGCUGAAGCUACAAAUACAAUGUGUGAACAAAGAAGAGCAGAAACAAACCACCUGUUACAGGAGAACAGGGAUGGACGUCCAUCAGACAAGCUCAUAACAGAAGCUGUGGCCUUCUCUCCAGAUUAUUACCCGGGGACGUUGUUAUGACAGAGGCUUUGAUAUUAAAGAGUGUGGGGGUCGAGCUCAAGGUUCUUUAUUGGCAUUCACAUGGCAUGUUGUACAUGAGGUGGAAUGAAACUGUGCACACAGGGUCCCAGUCACAUCCAACAAAAGUAUAAAUGAAUGACGUGCUGAGGUUCAAAUCCCAUCAGUCACUAAAUGGAGAUGUGAACUUGAUGCUCAGGAUGUUGAACACACACGAGCACACCUUAGAGUUCAUGUGGAAACAGUGACUGGUUGCAUGAGAAACACAAUGUUGCACAGAAAUACAGUGCCAUGAAUUUCCAUGUAUUGUUUUUUUGUCCUCUGGGAGAAGUUUGUCUCGAUGGAUAGUCCACUUUGUUUUGAGCUGCUUUUCAGCGUUAUGGAGGAGGAUACAGUGGUGACUCCAUGAAAAACACCAGUUUGUUUCUGAGGACAGUAAAAAUGGUGGUCGAGACGGGAAUGCCCCCAACGCAGUGACGUAUGUUCCAAAGCUCUAGACAGGGGACAAGUGGACUGUCUUAGUGAUGGACACAGGACAACUUACUGUGGACUGUCUUAGUGAUGGACAGACGGGGCUAAUGGGACAAAGAGUUUGACAUUUAAAUGUUACUUUGAUGUCAAGAUAGAGCAGAGACAAGGUUGUAACAAAGGGAUCACCCGUAACCUUGACCUUUGACCCUGUGACCUUAAAGCAAUAGGGAUCAUCCUUGAGCUCGGAGGUCUCCAGCUGCCGUUUUGGGUUCCUGUGUUAAAGGAUUAAUAGUCACAGAUUACAGAUUAGUCUGCAGGUUGAUCUUCGUCUCAGAACCGUUGGCCCGACUUGGAGGUUUCACCUCUGGUUCCUCCAGCGGUUCUGACGGACUUGGACCUGUGGGACAGCACCAUCUCCGGGUCCUGCACUCAGAACUUCCAACGCAAAUUAUUCUAUGAUCCUGAAAAAUGUUUCUAUUGAAUUAAAAAACAGUUUUUUAAUCAGAAAAAAUAAAUAAAAUAAAAA
Molecule: long non-coding RNA, 1548 nt
Organism: Nematolebias whitei (Rio pearlfish)
Lineage: Eukaryota; Metazoa; Chordata; Actinopteri; Cyprinodontiformes; Rivulidae
Exons: 3
Source: RefSeq, a predicted model, not a curated record